UACGAAGGGGGCUAGCGUUGUUCGGAAUUACUGGGCGUAAAGAGCUCGUAGGCGGUCUGUCGCGUCGAUCGUGAAAACUUGGGGCUUAACCCUGAGCUUGCGGUCGAUACGGGUAUGACUGGAGUUCGGCAGGGGAGACUGGAAUUCCUGGUGUAGCGGUGAAAUGCGCAGAUAUCAGGAGGAACACCGGUGGCGAAGGCGGGUCUCUGGGCCGAUACUGACGCUGAGGAGCGAAAGCGUGGGGAGCGAACAGG
This 254-nucleotide ribosomal RNA is filed under the name uncultured bacterium. RNAcentral describes it as "partial 16S ribosomal RNA". It matches the Rfam family "Bacterial small subunit ribosomal RNA", at positions 524 to 776 of the family's 1533-position model. The record is from RNAcentral.